GUUGAAUUAGCAUAAUAUAAUGUAUUUGCUUUAAGCGCAAAAGAUUAAUUUCAACU
Molecule: transfer RNA, 56 nt
Filed under: Strongyloides sp. EN-2020b
Lineage: Eukaryota; Metazoa; Nematoda; Chromadorea; Rhabditida; Strongyloididae
Description: tRNA-Leu
Source: RNAcentral